UACGGGGGGGGCAAGCGUUGUUCGGAAUUACUGGGCGUAAAGGGCUCGUAGGCGGCCAACUAAGUCAUACGUGAAAUCCCUCGGCUUAACCGGGGAACUGCGUCUGAUACUGGAUGGCUUGAGUUCGGGAGAGGGGUGCGGAAUUCCAGGUGUAGCGGUGAAAUGCGUAGAUAUCUGGAAGAACACCGGUGGCGAAGGCGGUCAACUGGCCCUGAACUGACGCUCAGGCACGAAAGCGUGGGGAUCAAACAGG
RNAcentral lists this ribosomal RNA (253 nucleotides) under uncultured bacterium. RNAcentral describes it as "partial 16S ribosomal RNA". It matches the Rfam family "Bacterial small subunit ribosomal RNA", at positions 524 to 776 of the family's 1533-position model. The record is from RNAcentral.